AAGGGGAUCCAAAAACUUGAUACACAGACUUGACAGCUAGAAUUAGGGUUUACUCACUUUUUAUUCUUGCCGACUUGUACUUUUGCGGCUAGCUUUCCUUAGCACUGGUUUAUUCUCACCGGUUGUUUCCUUAUUUGUAAACCGACAAACCUUUUCGAUCAAUAGAAAACGUCUUUGAAAUAACCCACCGCCGAGUUUUGUCUCUCUUACAUAGAGGAUGAGGGAGACUCACACUACAGACCCUCACGCCAGGAUCGGCCUUAGGGUGAUUUUCAGGAAGACCGUUUCAUAUCUUCAUCAUCUCGAGGUCUGAGAAGAGAGGGGAAUCCAAGAGAACAUGUGCCAACACGGGGGAGGGACACAACCUUAUCCAAGAACUGAGUAGAGCAGAGGAACCAUGAAGUCAGGAGAAAAUUAAAGAAAACAAACAGCAGCAGUCUCAGGAUUUUCCUCCUGCAGUACGCAAACCCGGUUCGCCAAAGUUUCAGGUUUUUCUCAAAACGUGGGACAAGAGGAUGGUCAGAAGAUGGGUGAUGAGGAACAAUGUCUACUUGCAGGUGAAGUGGAGAAGAAACAGGGAGCAAGGAAGAAGCUCUUCAGAAACUUGACAGGCGCAGGAGAAACCACAAAAGAAAGAGGUUGGUCCAAGCUUUAAUUUUACCACGCAAAUGCAACCUUGCCAAGAACUCAACUGGUCCAGGUUCUGGUGGAAACCAGACAGAGGAAAAUGGUCCAUUAACCCUAAACCAAGAACAUCAAGCCCUAAAAGACGAAUCAUGAAUCAGCAUGAAGAUGAUGAGAAUCUUCGAUGGCCGUUUUUAUUUUCUGGUUUUUUAUUUUCUGGUGCUUUAAUAAGCUCUGCGAGCAGUUUAUGUUUUUAUGCAUAUUUCUUUAUCUGGUUUCCUAGUUUGGCUUUCAUAUUGUACGAGUUGAGGUCAUUCUCUUGAUUGUAUGUUGGAAUAAUAAAGGUUUAUUCGGUUC
This is a long non-coding RNA of Raphanus sativus (radish), 981 nucleotides long. RefSeq lists it as uncharacterized. The record is from RefSeq and is a predicted model, not a curated record. The transcript has 2 exons. Lineage: Eukaryota; Viridiplantae; Streptophyta; Magnoliopsida; Brassicales; Brassicaceae.